CACAAAAUAAAUCAUGUUAAACACUAUUAUUGCACACAGAGUGAGUCCGUGCACCUUAUUAUGUGACUUGUUGAGCACAUUUUUACUCCUGAAAUUAUUUUGGGCUUUACCAUAACAAAGGAGUUAAAUACCUAUUGACUCAAAACAUUUCAGCUUUUCAUUUUUAAUUCAUUGGUAAACAUUUGUAAAACCAUAAUUUCAUUCUGACGUGAUGGGGGUGUUGUGUGAAGGCCGGUUACACACAAUCUCAAUGUAAUAUUUGUUAUUGGAUUUAUAAUAGAAGUAGUAGAUGUUGCAUUAGUCAUAUUUAAAAAUAAAACGUGUGAAACUCAGUGGUUGCUAUGGAUUUAAUACUAAAGGAAAUGAUCAAACAAGUAAAAACUGUAGCAUUAAACUGGGUUUUAUUCUCAAAUUAGCAGUGUUCUGAUCACUCUAAGGUACUAUAGUAACUCUGAAACCGUUUUCAGACAAAACAUGACAAAUGCUCGGGCAUCUCGUAAAACCCGGCCUUGGUGAUGGCUGUCAAUCAACACUUGUUCUGUCUGUGUCUGUGCGCGCUCCUGUCCAGUCCUGUGGGAGUUGCUGGGGUACUUUGGGAUAUCCCCUUCCUGCUACUUUAUUACCCCGCUCCGAAGACAGCUAUGCGAGGAGGGCAGGCGCAUGGGCUAAACACUGGGCGAAACUCUCCCAACUCACUCUCUCUGAACGCGAACAUCGACUCGAGGACUGUGGAAGUUGUCAGGCUAUCCGCUCUCUGCCGCUCACUUCAACUAUACCGCUACCGGACGCCCCCGUGCGAGACUUCACCUCUGCCUGUCACACGGCUCCCGCCGCCGGGGACUGGAAUUUACAGGAGGCUGGGGCUUUAUUAAAGGAACGCAUACUUGAAGGGGAACAAUACAUAUCUGGAUAUCCUCAGGCUCUGACGGUGUUGCUACUGAGAAACGUUCUCUUCUUGAGUAUGACUGGUGUUCGUUCGUAAGCAGGCUGGAGUAGGCUACUAAAAGUGGAGUCAUCAUAUACCGUAGUUCAUAUUUUCUUUUGUUUCACGCGCUCUGUCCGGAGCAGCGUCUGUCAUCUCCCGAACUGGAUUACUUCGCAUGUGUUUAUUUUGCGGGAAAUUGAGACGCUGCGUAAUCGUUUGGAGACGGAGCAACUAAUCGCGAAAUAAUUUGUAUUGUACACCUGUUUCUUAUUGCUCUGCUAGCUAUGUCAUCGGAGCAAACAACUGUCUCCACCGCCGUGAACAGAGGAGCUAAGAACCAUAUCCGAGACCGAGGAGCGAACCGAGCGGGUUCUUUUGGAACGGACCGAAAAACUUUUCUGUGGAACUUGUUGUGAAAUGAGUCAACGACAAAAAGGAACUCCCGUGCCAAGUGUAAUUUAACGGAGGUGGAAUUUGUCUUAUUUUCUCGGGAGGAAACUCAUACUUGUAUAAUCGGUCGUUCAUAAAGUUGUUCUCUCAACGAAGAGACUUCGUUCUAGAACUGGAACUCUGGAGAAAGUUUUGGAACUGGAACUCUGGAGAACGUUUUGGAACGCCGAACGCUCAGGGGGAAACGGUCGCGCAACUAAACGAUACAAAAAAAACAAGCUGACCAGGACCGACCAGACCAGACCAGACCAGACCGGACCAGACCAGACCAGACACAGACAGGACCAGACAGG
Long non-coding RNA from Oncorhynchus tshawytscha (Chinook salmon), 1668 nucleotides. The record is from Ensembl. NCBI's taxonomy places the organism in Eukaryota, Metazoa, Chordata, Actinopteri, Salmoniformes, Salmonidae.